Long non-coding RNA from Neofelis nebulosa (Clouded leopard), 1127 nucleotides. RefSeq lists it as uncharacterized. The record is from RefSeq and is a predicted model, not a curated record. NCBI's taxonomy places the organism in Eukaryota, Metazoa, Chordata, Mammalia, Carnivora, Felidae. The transcript has 2 exons.
CCCCCCGCCUGGCUCACCGUGGCCCUCGUGCCGGGCUCCGUGGAAUCCAGACCCCACUGAGUGGAGCCCCGGCUGCUGGUGGGCGUGCACGAGGCCUUCCCGAAGGACAGCAAGGGUCCCCGGUACCUCCUCACACACUUCUGCUCACCUGUCAGGGCCCAAACGGUGUCACAGCCUCCCUCACACAGUGACCUAAGGGGCAGGGGAGGGGAAUCCUUUAGGGAGAGACCUUGGAGGGACAGAGAGGAAGGGAUAGAUGGCCGUGGCCGUCGGGGAGGAGGGGACCCAGUCAGGGAGGGCUGGCACCCCAAAAGGGAAGACCUGGCCAAGCAAAGUGACACAGACAUGGAAGGAAAGGGGGGGAGAGGGGCAAAGCAGGGCGCAGGGCCACCGUGGAUGAUGGGGCAGGGGGAGCCCAGGGAUAAAGGGGCUGCCAGCUACAGUAGCUGCCUGGAGGGGGUGGAAGCUGGGGCCAUAUGACAGGAGACAGGCUGCUACGGUUCCUGGCUCUCCUCCCCUGCGCCCCGGGGAUGGUGAUGCAGCCAAUGUCUCCUGGGCUCGUGGGCCGGAGGCAGCCCGGGGCCACCAGGGAGGGGACGUGAGCCAGGACGUGGCGUGAAAGGGAAGAGGGCCCCUCCCCAGAGUCUGGGUGAAACCAGCGAGCAGAAGUCCCCAGGGGCCCUGGCUCCCAGAAUCCGGCAGCUGGCUGGCGUCUGGGCUGCAGGAGGCUCAGGGCCACAGUUAGCAUGUCUGUGGGACUCAGCUCGUGCGCAGGUGCCCAGCAAGCACGCGCCUGACGCAUAUGCCCUUCGAACGUCUCGAUUCUUCCAUCUUGACGGCUCUCCCCUACAUUUUAAGUUGACGUUUGACUUCUCUACUGUGCCUGAGUGUUUGUGAGCCCCAGAACUCCGGGUGGGGUCCCAGGCCCCCCAGCCGCGCUCCCCUCACUCAGCAGGGCGCGGGGGACGGGGGUGGGGGGCCGGGACCAGGGCUGUCCCCCGUGUGUAUCCCCAUGUCACCGGCUCUCCUAACACCCACGGCUGCGGUGGGAUUUUUAACGACCGUUUUCCUCAGUGUAAUUAAGUAGAAUUUCAUGUACAAUAUUAAAAUAAAAUGUAGGGGUUAAA